CAGCCGGCCCUGCUGUGGAGCCAAGCCCUUUCUCUUUGAUAACAAACCUGGCAUCUGAACCCUGAGUCCUUCGCGGGUCGCUGUGGUCACAGGCUGGGCUCUGCAGUGGAGCUGGAGUGAGGCCCAGGAAGGAUUCCUUUGCCUCCUUGCCCUUGCCCUUUUCCAACAUCACUACUUGGCAGCAGAAUGUGCAUGUGGAUUUAAUGGAAGGGGAAAAGGGAGACAAAGCAGAACAGGUUUGGGUACGUCCUGGCUACUUUUCCUCAGUUGGAUGGGAGGGUUGGCUGUCGGCUGCCUGUCUGGGCAGAGGGCUGGGCACAUUUCUCGUCUCUGAGGGUCACACCCCCUCCCCUUUCUCCUGCCUUUCCUUCUGGUGAACCUGAUGGGGUGGAAGUUCCUGGUGUACAGCAUUGACCUGACCUGGGAACCCAGGGGAAGGAUAGCCAGCUUUCCUCCCGGUCCAAAGCCCACACCAGGAAAGAGGACUCGGGGAUCCAGGAAACACCAGGUCCUCAAGUUCAACUCAGACAACUCAGAGCACGUUCUGAGCGGCCACAGCAUGGAAGACUGACCUUGACCGUGUUUGGGGGAGGGCCUGCCCAGCUGCACUUCUUCACAGACACAGUGAGCAGCUGGUCUACUGCUGAGCAUAUUCCCAUUUUCUGGGACAUUCCUGUAAGAGAAGGGAGGGAGCCUGCAGGGCGGGCGGUAGGUGGGAGUAGAUGCCAACUGCUAAUCAUUGUCAAUAAACAGAAGUAAGAGCAGUUUA
Non-coding RNA from Ictidomys tridecemlineatus (thirteen-lined ground squirrel), 769 nucleotides. NCBI's taxonomy places the organism in Eukaryota, Metazoa, Chordata, Mammalia, Rodentia, Sciuridae. The record is from RefSeq and is a predicted model, not a curated record.